GGAUGUGAGGGUAAUCUGGCUGCAACAUCUGUCACCCCAUUGAUCACCAGGGUUGAUUUGGCUGUUGUGGCUGGCUAGGAGGGUGUUCCCUUCCUCUGUCACCUCUCCAUGUGCCUUCCUUUCAAAGCUGUGCACUGGGACAAAGAGUAUGGCCUUCCCCAAUAGAGGAGAACCAUUCUUUGGUUGAGGGGGUUAUGAGUAGCUGUGCUCCCCUGCUAGAAUCUCCAAAUAAGUUCUCAAGUUUUUGAGUUCUGUGGAGUCUGGAUCUUUAAACAUUAGAGGAAUUCUAAUGUUCUGUGACUGACAAAUGACUAA
Molecule: unclassified non-coding RNA, 315 nt
Organism: Marmota marmota marmota (Alpine marmot)
Lineage: Eukaryota; Metazoa; Chordata; Mammalia; Rodentia; Sciuridae
Gene: 7SK
Rfam family: 7SK RNA
About the family: 7SK was discovered as an abundant small nuclear RNA in the mid-70s but a possible function has only recently been suggested. Two independent studies have found that 7SK RNA binds the CDK9/cyclin T complex (known as elongation factor P-TEFb).
Source: Ensembl